RNAcentral lists this ribosomal RNA (99 nucleotides) under Acanthosepion pharaonis. The record is from RNAcentral. Lineage: Eukaryota; Metazoa; Mollusca; Cephalopoda; Sepiida; Sepiidae.
CGUUGAAACACCGGUUCCCGUACGAUCACCGAAGUUAAGCAACGUCGAGCCUGAUCUAUAUCUCGAUGAGUGACCGCUUGGGAAUACCAUGUUCUGUAA